CAUAGGUUAAUGAGGCGAACCGGGGGAACUGAAACAUCUAAGUACCCCGAGGAAAAGAAAUCAACCGAGAUUCCCCCAGUAGCGGCGAGCGAACGGGGAGCAGCCCAGAGCCUGAAUCAGUGUGUGUGUUAGUGGAAGCGUCUGGAAAGGCGCGCGAUACAGGGUGACAGCCCCGUACACAAAAAUGCACAUACUGUGAGCUCGAUGAGUAGGGCGGGACACGUGGUAUCCUGUCUGAAUAUGGGGGGACCAUCCUCCAAGGCUAAAUACUCCUGACUGACCGAUAGUGAACCAGUACCGUGAGGGAAAGGCGAAAAGAACCCCGGCGAGGGGAGUGAAAAAGAACCUGAAACCGUGUACGUACAAGCAGUGGGAGCACAGAGCAAUCUGUGUGACUGCGUACCUUUUGUAUAAUGGGUCAGCGACUUAUAUUCUGUAGCAAGGUUAACCGAAUAGGGGAGCCGAAGGGAAACCGAGUCUUAACUGGGCGUUAAGUUGCAGGGUAUAGACCCGAAACCCGGUGAUCUAGCCAUGGGCAGGUUGAAGGUUGGGUAACACUAACUGGAGGACCGAACCGACUAAUGUUGAAAAAUUAGCGGAUGACUUGUGGCUGGGGGUGAAAGGCCAAUCAAACCGGGAGAUAGCUGGUUCUCCCCGAAAGCUAUUUAGGUAGCGCCUCGUGAAUUCAUCUCCGGGGGUAGAGCACUGUUUCGGCAAGGGGGUCAUCCCGACUUACCAACCCGAUGCAAACUGCGAAUACCGGAGAAUGUUAUCACGGGAGACACACGGCGGGUGCUAACGUCCGUCGUGAAGAGGGAAACAACCCAGACCGCCAGCUAAGGUCCCAAAGUCAUGGUUAAGUGGGAAACGAUGUGGGAAGGCCCAGACAGCCAGGAUGUUGGCUUAGAAGCAGCCAUCAUUUAAAGAAAGCGUAAUA
Molecule: ribosomal RNA, 937 nt
Filed under: Escherichia coli
Lineage: Bacteria; Pseudomonadati; Pseudomonadota; Gammaproteobacteria; Enterobacterales; Enterobacteriaceae
Description: partial 23S ribosomal RNA
Rfam family: Bacterial large subunit ribosomal RNA
Source: RNAcentral